UUGGAGGGCAAGUCUGGUGCCAGCAGCCGCGGUAAUUCCAGCUCCAACAGCGUAUAUUAAAGUUGUUGCAGUUAAAAAGCUCGUAGUUGAAUUUCGGGGUCAGUAGGCUGGUCAUGCCACUGGUAUGUACUGGUCUCACUGAUUCCUCCUUCCUGAUGAGCCGUAAUGCCAUUAAUUUGGUGUUGCGAGGAAUCUGGACUGUUACUUUGAAAAAAUUAGAGUGUUUAAAGCAAGCUAACGCUUGAAUACAUUAGCAUGGAAUAAUGAAAUAGGACGUUCAAUCCUAUUUUGUUGGUUUUUAGGAUUGACGUAAUGAUUAAUAGGGAUAGUUGGGGGCAUUAGUAUUCAAUUGUCAGAGGUGAAAUUCUUGGAUUUAUUGAAGACUAACUACUGCGAAAGCAUUUGCCAAGGAUGUUUUCAUUAAUCAAGAACGAAAGUUAGGGGAUCGAAGACGAUCAGAUACCGUCGUAGUCUUAACCAUAAACUAUGCCGACUAGGGACCGGAUGAUGUUAAUUUUUUAAUGACUCAUUCGGCGCCUUACGGGAAACCAAAGUGUUUGGGUUC
Molecule: ribosomal RNA, 565 nt
Filed under: uncultured Glomeromycotina
Lineage: Eukaryota; Fungi; Glomeromycota
Description: SSU rRNA
Rfam family: Eukaryotic small subunit ribosomal RNA
Source: RNAcentral